CCCCCCUGAAGGACGGAGGAAACAACGUGCUUUUGUAUCAAGAAAGUCAUGUAUUUAAGAUCAGUUACAUGAUUUCUCAGUAUAAACAAGCAUGAGGAUUGUUCAGUGUUAAAUUGUUACACGGAUCAAACAUAUAAGAUAAGAUUUCAUUCUUUUCCUAAAGAUAAAAA
Long non-coding RNA from Eurytemora carolleeae, 170 nucleotides. RefSeq lists it as uncharacterized. The transcript has 2 exons. NCBI's taxonomy places the organism in Eukaryota, Metazoa, Arthropoda, Copepoda, Calanoida, Temoridae. The record is from RefSeq and is a predicted model, not a curated record.